This 254-nucleotide ribosomal RNA is filed under the name uncultured bacterium. Its description in RNAcentral is "partial 16S ribosomal RNA". It matches the Rfam family "Bacterial small subunit ribosomal RNA", at positions 524 to 776 of the family's 1533-position model. The record is from RNAcentral.
UACGGGGGGGGCAAGCGUUGUUCGGAAUUACUGGGCGUAAAGGGCUCGUAGGCGGCCAACUAAGUCAGACGUGAAAUCCCUCGGCUUAACCGGGGAACUGCGUCUGAUACUGGAUGGCUUGAGGUUGGGAGAGGGAUGCGGAAUUCCAGGUGUAGCGGUGAAAUGCGUAGAUAUCUGGAGGAACACCGGUGGCGAAGGCGGCAUCCUGGACCAAUUCUGACGCUGAGUGAGCGAAAGCGUGGGGAGCAAACAGG